GUUCACUAUUAUUAUCUAUUUGCUGGAGUUAAUUACAAUUAUCAUUUAACUUAUUAUCAUGUUGUUUCUCAUGAUUUUACUGAAUACAUUAAAAUUUUCGUAUGUAAGAACCAUUCUGACUUUCACUGAUAAUACUGGAUUAAUGGUUAUCCAACAAACACAGCUCAUCCGUUUGCUUACAACUUAAAAUUGCCACAUCUACUUUGUCGCAAAGUUUCUAUUAUUACUCUUGGCACUGAUCAAAAAUAGCUUAGG
Molecule: unclassified non-coding RNA, 255 nt
Filed under: Hevea brasiliensis (rubber tree)
Lineage: Eukaryota; Viridiplantae; Streptophyta; Magnoliopsida; Malpighiales; Euphorbiaceae
Source: RNAcentral